UACGGAAGGGGGCUAGCGUUGCUCGGAAUUACUGGGCGUAAAGCGCACGUAGGCGGUUCUUUUAAGUCGGGGGUGAAAUCCUGGAGCUCAACUCCAGAACUGCCUUCGAUACUGGAAGACGUUGAGUCCGGGAGAGGUGAGUGGGAACUGCGAGUGGUAGAGGUGAAAUUCGUAGAUAUUCGCAAGAACACCAGUGGCGAAGGCGACACACUGGCUCACUACUGACGCUGAGGCGCGAAAGCGUGGGGAGCAAACAGG
Molecule: ribosomal RNA, 258 nt
Filed under: uncultured bacterium
Lineage: Bacteria
Description: partial 16S ribosomal RNA
Rfam family: Bacterial small subunit ribosomal RNA
Source: RNAcentral